CGGGCUAUGGCGCAGCUUGGUAGCGCGCCUGACUGGGGGUCAGGAGGUCGCAAGUUCAAAUCUUGUUAGCCCGACCA
RNAcentral lists this transfer RNA (77 nucleotides) under Glutamicibacter uratoxydans. RNAcentral describes it as "tRNA-Pro". It matches the Rfam family "tRNA". From Rfam's summary of the family: Transfer RNA (tRNA) molecules are approximately 80 nucleotides in length. RNAcentral also lists the same sequence under 5 other names. The record is from RNAcentral. Lineage: Bacteria; Bacillati; Actinomycetota; Actinomycetes; Micrococcales; Micrococcaceae.